RNAcentral lists this long non-coding RNA (302 nucleotides) under Ailuropoda melanoleuca (giant panda). RNAcentral's name for it is "lncRNA (ENSAMEG00000024231.1)". The record is from RNAcentral. Lineage: Eukaryota; Metazoa; Chordata; Mammalia; Carnivora; Ursidae.
AAAUGAUUUUCUACAUCAAUUAAAAUGAUCAUGUGACAGCCAGGGCGCAGAGGUCAGGGAGCUGGGGUGCAGAGGUCGGGCAGUUAGGUGCAGAGGUCGGACAGCCGGGGUGCAGAGGUCAGGGAGCCAGGGUGCAGAGGUCGGGCAGUUAGGCGCAGAGGUCAGGGAGCCGGGGUGCAGAGGUCGGGGAGCCGGGGUGCAGAGGUCGAGCUGUGCUGGGGUGCAGAGGCCUGGUGGCCAGGGCAGAGCUCGGAAGGAGCAGCAAGCACCACGCAGAGGGAGAGCCUCUCCUAUGCAACCAC